ACAGCUCAGUUGGUACAGCAUGAGACUCUUAAUCUCAAGGCUGUGGGUUCGAUACCUGUGUUGGAUG
Podarcis lilfordi (Lilford's wall lizard) is the source of this 67-nucleotide non-coding RNA. Lineage: Eukaryota; Metazoa; Chordata; Lepidosauria; Squamata; Lacertidae. The record is from the annotation of a GenBank genome assembly.